Drosophila virilis is the source of this 114-nucleotide non-coding RNA. Lineage: Eukaryota; Metazoa; Arthropoda; Insecta; Diptera; Drosophilidae. The record is from RefSeq and is a predicted model, not a curated record.
UUGAAGAGUUGCCACCAUGUAAGGACUUUUGAUCUUUACUUAAAACACAGUAAAAAAAAAUAAAUAAAAUAAGAAAAUGAGCGAUGACAAUAGCAAUUUUGAGGACAUCGACAA